This 553-nucleotide long non-coding RNA is filed under the name Homo sapiens (human). RNAcentral's name for it is "HSALNT0407283". The record is from RNAcentral. Lineage: Eukaryota; Metazoa; Chordata; Mammalia; Primates; Hominidae.
CACAGCUCAGCUAAGCCACCCUGGAGAAAGAAUCUUACAAAGAAUACUAAAGAGCAUCCAAGUGUGAAGAAUGAAACACACAGAUGAGCCCCAAGAGGAUGAGGAAGGGAGAGGCUGGUGGGGGUCUGAUUCUCAUCUCCACCUUAACAGAAUGCACAUGAAGUCCAGCCAUGGUGUAGCCAAGGAGACCCACUAAGACCACCAAAAGCUUGGAAAUGAGGAUGCAGGGGCAAAGGACGGCAUUAUAGGCGCAUACAUCUCUUCACACCAUGAAUGAUUUGAAGCUUGCAUGCUUUUGGAUUGCCCUGGUGAAGAUUUAGUUUCCAGCUCAAGAAAACCCAUGUCAGAAAAUCGUCCUUCAGCAUUCUCAGAGGAUAAAUAAAAAAGAUUGCUACUGAAAGAACCCAAUUUUGUUUUUCAAAAUAUAUGUGCAAAUAGACAUUGAAAAAAAUAUGGGCAUGAUAUAAUCAAAAUGGUAUAAAUUGUCAUGUAUGGAUAGAGGAUAAUAAUGAUUUCUAUUUUGGGGGAGGACUUUUUAAUUUUCUUGUUAGCG